Mugil cephalus (flathead mullet) is the source of this 1569-nucleotide long non-coding RNA. RefSeq lists it as uncharacterized. Lineage: Eukaryota; Metazoa; Chordata; Actinopteri; Mugiliformes; Mugilidae. The record is from RefSeq and is a predicted model, not a curated record. The transcript is spliced from 4 exons.
AGAUGCUCCUGCAUGAAUGCAGAUCCCGACACUACCUUUUUUGAUUGGACUGUCACUGAACCAGCUAAAAGACGCUGACCACGCAGCCUGCCCUGAACUAAAUGGAAUAUACAUUUGAGCAGCACACAGCAGUUUGUGAGAAAUGAUCACUUGUGUGGUUGGGUGCAGGACGCUUCCAGGCGCCGUACAGAUGAGGCAUAUUAUGAGGGUGUCAUUCCAUUGCCCACCUGGGCUGGAAAGGAUGCAAGGAAGGAGGCAACUGAGGCAGCAUCUGCUCCGGGCCGCGGGAGAUGGAUGGAGGAGCUAGAUGCUUCUGCGUUGUGCGUUCUCCACGGUGGAGAUUACGAGCUUCCUGCCACAUACUGUAAAUACCUGCGCGGCCACAUCUGGAUCAAAAGGUCAGGAUGUUGAUGGUGGGCGGAAGCAACUGGCCGGAAACUUAUGAGACUUGAUAUGAAUAUCCACAGGCUCCGCUGACCUUUCCCUUUUGUUUAUAUGAGAUCAUUGCAGUUCCUUGGAGCCUUCAGCCUUUGUACUUAAAAAGUUUUCAGAGGGUCAGUGACAACACACAAACUAAGGAUGUGCUCAUCGAUGCCUUGUGUAGUUGUUUAUUUUAGGUUUGUCAUAAACCAAAACCACUUAUUUAUAGGGACAAAAGUUCUUGUUCCUCUUGUCCGUCUCCAAAAAUUUAAAAAGAAGAAGCCUCGAAUGUACCGAAAUUAAACAAAUCUGCUAUAUGGAGAUAUUUUACUGUGGAAAGAUAUCACUAGACAUCACUAAUAUCAACUAGCUAAACUAUUGUACUGUGUAUAACGCCAUUGUUAUACUCACACUUCACUCUGGUUGAGAGCACCGGUCAUAUUAAAGCUAAAGCACCAGGCUGCUUGAGGAGAAUCAAAGACCGGGCAACAAAUAUGGACGCAAUCAAGCUAGCCACCUCAAAUUGGUUGGCAAUUUUCCACAGAAUGCCACACCAAUAAGCUUUAACAUGGCACCAGAGCAGCUGGUGGUCCAAAGAGGUGGAACUAUUAGCUUCUCAAACACAGCAGAAAAGUGGAAUAAGUCCGGACCGCAACAGUCCAACAGCAGAUGAACGGAAGUGAAAGAUAAGAGCACAGUUUGGGUUUGAGUUCAACACUCGCAGAUGGAGCUAUUUUGUGAAUAGAAGAAGGCUGUGACUUCUUUUUUCCUUCUUUUUCUCACCUGCCAUGCUCAGGUAUUUUCUAGUUGUCUGUUUUUUCCAUGUAGACAUAAAAAGGCCUGUAUGCAUUAUAUAUCUACUGCCUACUGUCUUCAAGAGGUUAGGAUAAUAUAGAUAGACUUCCAGUAUCAAUCAUAUAGUCUACAGUAUAUACAGUGUUUUAUCAUAUUUCGUCCAACUCUUUCUUUCUGUUUACGUCUCCUUAAGACGGAGAAUUGAGAACUGGAAGUAAAAGCAACUGGACUUCUUGCCGAAAAGACACGCUUUCCACUUCACAGCCAGGAUAAUUUAACAAGGAUAUACUUCAGUCAUAGAGAUCUCUGAUCAGUCACUGUAAAAGGGAGUCUUGUUGGGCCAAAAAGAUUGCG